GCGCGGGUGUUGUAACUGGUAGCCAAGCGACACUUAAAAUGUCGUGCCCGAAAGGGCGUGUGGGUUCGAUUCCCACCCCGCGCACCA
Molecule: transfer RNA, 87 nt
Filed under: Candidatus Saccharibacteria bacterium CG_4_10_14_0_2_um_filter_52_9
Lineage: Bacteria; Candidatus Saccharimonadota
Description: tRNA-Leu
Rfam family: tRNA
About the family: Transfer RNA (tRNA) molecules are approximately 80 nucleotides in length. Their secondary structure includes four short double-helical elements and three loops (D, anti-codon, and T loops). Further hydrogen bonds mediate the characteristic L-shaped molecular structure. tRNAs have two regions of fundamental functional importance: the anti-codon, which is responsible for specific mRNA codon recognition, and the 3' end, to which the tRNAs corresponding amino acid is attached (by aminoacyl-tRNA synthetases). tRNAs cope with the degeneracy of the genetic code in two manners: having more than one tRNA (with a specific anti-codon) for a particular amino acid; and 'wobble' base-pairing, i.e. permitting non-standard base-pairing at the 3rd anti-codon position.
Source: RNAcentral